UUGCCAGAACAGUAUAUGUUGCAUUUAAACGUUAACACAAAUUUCAGCUUGCAGUCCGUCUCAUUUUAAAGCAGAAAAAAGGCUUCGUUAAUAGUCUAUCUGGCAACCCUGAGCACCAUAAAACUGCGUGGACAUGCAACAUGCGUGUCUAACGCGGAGGAUAUGUGUUUAACUAUAAGGAAGAUUCUACUAAAGAUAAUCACGUCAGAAGAUCAGAUGAACAGGCUUCGAAUAGCAAGAAGUUUCAUGCAGUUAUUGAUUGUUUUUACAUAAAUAUAGAUUCCAAAUAAAGGACCUUGACCUUG
This is a long non-coding RNA of Trichomycterus rosablanca, 305 nucleotides long. RefSeq lists it as uncharacterized. The record is from RefSeq and is a predicted model, not a curated record. The transcript is spliced from 2 exons. NCBI's taxonomy places the organism in Eukaryota, Metazoa, Chordata, Actinopteri, Siluriformes, Trichomycteridae.